AGCAGCCGCGGUAAUUCCAGCUCCAAUAGCGUAUAUUAAAGUUGUUGCAGUUAAAAAGCUCGUAGUUGAAUUUCGGGAUCAAUACGUCGGUCGUGCUUCGGUACGUACUGGCGUAAUUGAUUUCUCCCUUCUGACGAACCAUGAUGUCAUUAACUUGGUGUCAUGGGAAAUCAGGACUGUUACUUUGAAAAAAAUUAGAGUGUUUAAAGCAGGCUCACGCUUGAAUACAUUAGCAUGGAAUAAUGAAAUAGGACGUUCGAUCCUAUUUUGUUGGUUUUUAGGAUCAACGUAAUGAUUAAUAGGGAUAGUUGGGGGCAUUAGUAUUCAAUUGUCAGAGGUGAAAUUCUUGGAUUUAUUGAAGACUAACUACUGCGAAAGCAUUUGCCAAGGAUGUUUUUCAUUAAUCAAGAACGAAAGUUAGGGGAUCGAAGACGAUCAGAUACCGUCGUAGUCUUAACCAUAAACUAUGCCGACUAGGGAUCGGAUGAUGUUAAUUUUUUUAAUGACUCAUUCGGCGCCU
Molecule: ribosomal RNA, 520 nt
Filed under: uncultured Glomus
Lineage: Eukaryota; Fungi; Glomeromycota; Glomeromycetes; Glomerales; Glomeraceae
Description: SSU rRNA
Rfam family: Eukaryotic small subunit ribosomal RNA
Source: RNAcentral